UAGAAGAAUGGUGGCAAAUUUUGCAUUAAUAAUGAAAUCUAGAAAGCCUCUAAAAAUCUAAAUUAAGAUAAUGUCCUAAGUGUUCUUCUUCCAACUUUUUGAGCAAACCAGUUACCAAUGCUCUUCUUCCUGCCCUGCCUGCCCUCUGGUGGAGGUGUUAAAGAGCAGGCCUGGAGAUCAAGCAAGCCAUAAGGGAACUAGAAGUUGUGAAAAAGACCAGGCCAAGCAGAUGCAUCCUCUCUAGACUUUGAUUCAAGAACUGGUGACUCAAAGCAGCAGGGAUGACGCAGAAUCCGUUCUGGCCAGGGCAUAGCAGCAAUGGCAGCUGCAUCCGGUUUCCAGUGGCGGGAGAGACAGCUGUUCUGUGGCAGUGUGCAGUGUCCAGCAUCCAAGGACUUGGCAUUGCAAAUUACGAGGUGUGUAUGUCUAAGAGGAGAGAGUUUGGAGAACAGAUCAUCAGCCACAAAGCACUCAACCCUGAUCUCCCAUUAUGAAAAUGAACAACAAAUGUUUGUUAAAUGCCUGCUAUGUGUGGGAAUAGUCAUUUUCCUAGACUAGCGACAUCAGCAUCACCUGAGAGCUUGUUAGAAAUUCAAAUAGGAAGCUUUGGGAUUGGAGCCCAGCAAUCCGUGUUUUAACAAGCCCUCCAGGAGAUUCCCAUACAUAUUAAAGGUGUCAUUUAGAACUGGAAUUUCACUGGGUAAUGGUAAGGUGGGGACUGGGCUGGGCAUCCUGUGGGCAGCAUGGGGUAGUGGCUGAGCACAGAGCUCAUUCCUCUGACUCCUUAGGGGGUGCACCUCUCGCCACCUCAGGACUUGCAUUUGGGGAGAGGAAUCAUUCUUCUCUGGGAGUCAGAUCUCAUUCCAGAUAAAAUGCUCAAAUCGGAGAUAUUCCAAUUUGUGGUUAAUACUGUGUGCCGGGAAAACAAAGCUGUUCUCUAUUGCUGUCAUGACAUUCGCUUAUGGAGCAGGAGGAGGGACCUAAGAAGGAGGGAAAGGGGACAAGAGAGCCUGAAAAAGAUUUGAUCCCUACCAUUACCAUGUGUCCUUCCCACUACCCUGUCCCACAACUCUUUCCCCAUUUGCCUCUUGACCUCCCUGGGUCCGGCAUGCUCUCCAGUGAAUUUUGGGAGAGCUGAAACAGUGAAGGGGAGCUAUGUACUAGAGAUGGUGUAGAGAGGGAGGAUGCCCCAGGCCAGUCCCUGCCUCACCCUUUAACCAACAAGAUUCUGAUUCCAAGGGCAAGUUGCACCUUCACUAACCAGAGCUAUAACAGUAUUCAACCCCACUUCCUUCUGCUUUUUUUUUUUGGGGGGGGGGUUGCAGAAAGCAAUUCCUGGAAAUAGAACUUGUCUUUCACUUCAACAGGAUGUAACUCUGAUGUACAUUCCAAUGUCAGCUGUUGGUGACCCAGCCCUCAAUAGGAAGGCCAGCCCAUCCCUACACUAGUCCUUGGCUGAGAGUGCGUGACUGCUUCCCAACUUCCUGAGGGGCACAGAGCUUGUCACUCCUCCGCACACAGUCUCAGUAGUCAGAUUUAGGGACCAGUCAUGCUUGGAAUCAGUAUUCCCAGCAAGAAAGCUUUCCUUUUGGAAAUUUUUGAUCUUUGCAUCAUCAAAGAGACUGGGAGAGAGCAGUCUUUAAUUUUUACUUAUGGCUUGAAAUUAUUAUGUAAAUAUAUGAAAGAGGGGAAACUGAGUGGACUCAGUCACUAGACAUCUGAGUCUUUAUUUCAAAAUCAAUUUUUUGCAAGAUGACUACUCAGCUACAUACAUUGAAAGAGACUAGUGACCCAAGGACAGAAGACAGAAGGGUUGGUUUAUCUGGGUUCCAUAUAAUCCAUAUGCAAGGAGAUAGAUUUGUCUAACACUGAAAAAACCUCAACUAAGUCAUUUAAAAAAAAUUUUUUUUAAUGUUUAUUUAUUUUUGAGACAGAGACAGAACAUGAAUGGGGGAG
Prionailurus viverrinus (fishing cat) is the source of this 1956-nucleotide long non-coding RNA. RefSeq lists it as uncharacterized. The transcript is spliced from 4 exons. NCBI's taxonomy places the organism in Eukaryota, Metazoa, Chordata, Mammalia, Carnivora, Felidae. The record is from RefSeq and is a predicted model, not a curated record.